GACGUAGGGCGCGAGCGUUGUCCGGAUUUAUUGGGCGUAAAGAGCUCGUUGGCGGCUUGUUGCGUCGGCUGUGAAAUCCCAUGGCUCAACUGUGGGCUUGCAGCCGAUACGGGCGGGCUAGAGUUCGGUAGGGGAGACUGGAAUUCCUGGUGUAGCGGUGAGAUGCGCAGAUAUCAGGAGGAACACCGGUGGCGAAGGCGGCUCACUGGCCCGAUACUGACGCUGAGGCACGAAAGCGUGGGGAGCAAACAGG
RNAcentral lists this ribosomal RNA (253 nucleotides) under uncultured bacterium. RNAcentral describes it as "partial 16S ribosomal RNA". It matches the Rfam family "Bacterial small subunit ribosomal RNA", at positions 524 to 776 of the family's 1533-position model. The record is from RNAcentral.